RNAcentral lists this ribosomal RNA (456 nucleotides) under uncultured bacterium. RNAcentral's name for it is "bacterial SSU rRNA". It matches the Rfam family "Bacterial small subunit ribosomal RNA", at positions 977 to 1434 of the family's 1533-position model. The record is from RNAcentral.
GGGCUUGACAUCCCACGAACCUGCAGAGAUGCAGUGUGCCUUCGGGCGUACUGAGACGGGUGGUGCAUGGUUGUCGUCAGCUCGUGUCGUGAGAUGUUGGGUUAAGUCCCGCAACGAGCGCAACCCUUGUUCACAGUUACUAACGGGUCAAGCCGAGGACUCUGUGGAGACUGCCGGUGAUAAACCGGAGGAAGGUGGGGAUGACGUCAAGUCAGCAUGGCCUUUAUGUCUGGGGCCACACACGUGCUACAAUGGCAGGUACAAACCGUCGCGAGCCCGCGAGGGGGAGCUAAUCGGAUAAAACCUGUCUCAGUUCGGAUUGUAGGCUGCAACUCGCCUGCAUGAAGUUGGAAUCGCUAGUAAUCGCGGAUCAGCACGCCGCGGUGAAUACGUUCCCGGGCCUUGUACACACCGCCCGUCACAUCACGAAAGCUGGCUGUACUCGAAGUCGCUGAG